This is a long non-coding RNA of Eriocheir sinensis (Chinese mitten crab), 847 nucleotides long. RefSeq lists it as uncharacterized. Lineage: Eukaryota; Metazoa; Arthropoda; Malacostraca; Decapoda; Varunidae. The transcript is spliced from 2 exons. The record is from RefSeq and is a predicted model, not a curated record.
GCAUGGUAGCAAUCACGCACCUGAUACACACCCCACUUCAUCUUUAAAUUGUCAUUUUUCCUAUGAAUGAAAGCACGAACCUCUGGAUCACAUUUCAGCACAUAGUGAACAGUCCCUCCAGCAGCAGGUUUAUGGAAGAUAACACUCAUCUUAUCCUUCACUCCAUCAAUCAUGCUCAGAUCAUUUCUCUCAAUAACUGUCUCAAUGAUUGAAUCACCAUCCUCCACCUGAGCAACAUUGCAGAUCAUAAUCUUUGGGUUCAGACGCCUCCCACAUGAAACAUUCAGAUUAUCAACACCGUGCAACUUAUUCUGUGCCUCAGUUCGACUCUCCUCAGACUCAAAGUUCAUCACAAUGUUUCCCUUCCAUGUGAGCUUCGAAUCCAGUAUCUGAACAUCAGACAAAACCUCCUCUACUUUUUUCUUCAUAUCAACCGCUUUCUCAUUACCUCCCGCCUUAAGAAUAAGCAAGUUCUUGUUUUUCUGUCCUUCUUUCCUCUUCCUGCCUCUUGACACUACCUCUGCCCACCGUGCACCGCCACCAUCAUCAUCAAUCUCACGACCGGUUUGAGCUGAAACCGCCUCUUCAACUGCCGUUGUUACCCCUGCAGCCAAAACAGGCAAUGCUGCCUCCACACUUGCCCGAAGAGCAUGUGGUGUGUGCUGGGAUGCCUUGCAGGAGAUCACGCUGGGAUACGAAGCCGCCCCUCAAGAGAUGGAGUCCAUUCAGCUGUUCAAUUCUGCCGAGGGAAAAGAAUCAUUCAACUCUGAAGACUGCCAUGGAUUCUUAUGUAUUAGCUAGCGAGAUGUGAACUUUCUAUCUCGUGAAAAUAAAGUUCAGGGACGUA